GGGGAAUAUUGCACAAUGGGCGAAAGCCUGAUGCAGCGACGCCGCGUGAGUGAUGAAGGCCUUAGGGUUGUAAAGCUCUUUCAGUGGGGACGAUAAUGACGGUACCCACAGAAGAAGCCCCGGCUAACUUCGUGCCAGCAGCCGCGGUAAUACGAAGGGGGCUAGCGUUGUUCGGAUUUACUGGGCGUAAAGCGCACGUAGGCGGAUCGUUAAGUCGGGGGUGAAAUCCUGGAGCUCAACUCCAGAACUGCCUUCGAUACUGGCGAUCUUGAGUCCGGAAGAGGUGAGUGGAACUCCUAGUGUAGAGGUGGAAUUCGUAGAUAUUAGGAAGAACACCAGUGGCGAAGGCGGCUCACUGGUCCGGUACUGACGCUGAGGUGCGAAAGCGUGGGGAGCAAAC
This 400-nucleotide ribosomal RNA is filed under the name uncultured bacterium. Its description in RNAcentral is "bacterial SSU rRNA". It matches the Rfam family "Bacterial small subunit ribosomal RNA", at positions 356 to 773 of the family's 1533-position model. The record is from RNAcentral.